GUUAAAUAUAUUACACACUUAUCCUGAAAGCAAUCAUGGUGCAAGCUACUCUUUGUGUCCAGUUAAUAUUACUUCUUGGGUUCACCAUAGCCGCUUGUAUGGCUGACGAAUACACAUGCGGAGACGUUGAUACCUACGAGGUGGAUCGCGUUGCUAGAGAGGCGGUGAAGGCUUAUCGGCCCAAAUCUCGGAUCGAGAUAAUUUACUAUCCUUCGUGUAGAAUAACCAAAGCUGAAAAAUCAGGUUAUUUUCCAAAUAUAGAUUACAGGCUUACCAUUAAGUGCCAUUAUUUUGUUCCAAGUAACAUUAUAGUUGACGCCGUAUGCUAUGCAUCUGCUGGCCUAGCAGCGUUCAUUGGACCCUUCGUAAAGGAAAUUAAGUGUGAAUUUACCUCCCACUUGAAAUAAUUUUGUAUUCAUAAACGGUCAACCCAGUCGAGUUUAAAUAAAAUUGGAGUACCGCCAACGUCCAUAAUGUGUUACUUAUAAGCCUCGUGUCAUGGUUACUAACAAUACUGUAUAGACGCCAACGA
Molecule: long non-coding RNA, 532 nt
Organism: Hyposmocoma kahamanoa
Lineage: Eukaryota; Metazoa; Arthropoda; Insecta; Lepidoptera; Cosmopterigidae
Exons: 2
Source: RefSeq, a predicted model, not a curated record